Centrocercus urophasianus (Greater sage-grouse) is the source of this 560-nucleotide long non-coding RNA. RefSeq lists it as uncharacterized. The transcript is spliced from 3 exons. Lineage: Eukaryota; Metazoa; Chordata; Aves; Galliformes; Phasianidae. The record is from RefSeq and is a predicted model, not a curated record.
GGGAAGCAACCUGGGAUGCCUUCCAAAGAUCACUGCCUGCAAUUGAAGCCAGCUAAUGACUGGAGGAGAGUUCCCAAUAUCCCCAAAUCCCCUCAUUAACCUUGGCUUGAGGGGGGAAUUGCUGGACUGUAACAAGCAACAAGGACCCCAGCUUAGAAUCUUCUGGUUCCUGCAAAACUUCUGAAUGCAAUCCAAGGUAUUUAAUUCCCUCUGUAGCCUCGUGGUGAAGUGAGAUGUUCUGGAAGCAGUUGGUGAGAGCUUCACCUCCUCUACCAGUAGGAAAACUUUGGAGGCACAGCUGGAGGAUUGGGCAAUACCUACCAGGGAGGUAACAUCUCCAGUGGAAAAGAGGACACGGCUUUAAAACACCUACAGCUGGCUUCCACACCCCCCUGACCUGCAUUUCAGGUCGGCACCACCAAGAUGCCUGUCUGCCUUGGCUGAUGAGGGUAGCUACAUGCAAGGCAAGCUAUCUGAACCCGACAGCAAAGACCACAUUUCCCCUUAAUGCACCAUGCUGUGGGAAGUGUUUACUGUUGCUACUCUUACAGAGCAGAAAA